CUGUAGGUGAACCUGCGGAGGAUCAUUGUCGAAUCCUGCAUAGCAGUACCACUCGCGAACAAGUUUACAAACACGAGACCUAAUCAACUGUAGGGAAUUCUCUGCAUUUGAUUUGUGCCUCUCGGUGCCCUGGCAAUUUGCCUAGGUGCCUAACACACCCCCGGCGCGAGAAGCGCCAAGGUAUACGCUAACAAGGGCUCUAACCGUCCUCUCCCGUUCGCGGGGCACAGAGGAUUGGAGACAGCUUCUUCUAAUCUAAAACGACUCUCGGCAACGGAUAUCUCGGCUCUCGCAUCGAUGAAGAACGUAGCGAAAUGCGAUACUUGGUGUGAAUUGCAGAAUCCCGUGAACCAUCGAGUCUUUGAACGCAAGUUGCGCCUGAAGCCAUUAGGCCAAGGGCACGUCUGCCUGGGCGUCACACAUCGCGUCACCCCUCCAAUUCAGUUGGAUGUGGUGGAAUAUGACCUCCAGUGCCUUGUGGUGUUGUUGGUCGAAAAUCGAGUCCAGAGCCUAGGAUGUCACGGCAAGUGGUGGUUGGAUAACAACUCUCGUCCUGUCGUGUGCCGAACCUCUCGUGAUUGGAAAACCCUUAAUGCACGUUACCCUCCUCCUCUUGGAGUUGGGCGUUGUGUUAUGACUGCGACCCCAGGUCAGGCGGGAUUACCCGCUGGAUUUAAG
RNAcentral lists this ribosomal RNA (678 nucleotides) under Lasiocaryum munroi. Its description in RNAcentral is "eukaryotic LSU rRNA". The stretch from base 263 to 418 matches the Rfam family "5.8S ribosomal RNA". Lineage: Eukaryota; Viridiplantae; Streptophyta; Magnoliopsida; Boraginales; Boraginaceae. The record is from RNAcentral.